AACGCACCUUGCACCCUCUGGUAUUCCGGAGGGUAUGCCUGUCUGAGUGUCUUGUAGACUCAAUCCCCCGGGUUUCCGGUCGAUUGGAUUUGGACGUUGCCUCCUCGGCUCGUCUUAAAUGUGUUAGCGGCACGAGCGCCCGCCUGACGAAUUAAGUUCCGUCCGACGACGCGUCACCGACCGCUCAUAACCGCCCCUAGGCACCUUUUGACUCUGACCUCAGAUCAGGUAGGACUACCCGCUGAACUUAA
RNAcentral lists this unclassified non-coding RNA (251 nucleotides) under uncultured fungus. RNAcentral's name for it is "partial contains 5.8S ribosomal RNA, internal transcribed spacer 2, and large subunit ribosomal RNA". The stretch from base 1 to 52 matches the Rfam family "5.8S ribosomal RNA", at positions 103 to 154 of the family's 154-position model. Lineage: Eukaryota; Fungi. The record is from RNAcentral.